This is a long non-coding RNA of Mustela erminea (ermine), 4458 nucleotides long. RefSeq lists it as uncharacterized. The record is from RefSeq and is a predicted model, not a curated record. The transcript has 3 exons. Lineage: Eukaryota; Metazoa; Chordata; Mammalia; Carnivora; Mustelidae.
UCCGUGGCUCGAAAAUAAACUGAAACCUUUUUUUGCAGGAGGGUGCGUAUGAGGAUCAGAUUGAAGGGAUGACCAGAAGGAGCAAUGGCGGGAGUCUGGACAACGGCCGGACUUUCACCUCCAGGGGCGCACAGGGGACCCACACACCAAAUAUUGUCUCGCUCAGUAAUUGAAAUCUCUCGCGGCGCGGCCGCCAGGGUAAGGAAAGGUGCGGAGAGGGUGACGGAGGAAGUGCGCCCGCCCGCUUUGAUUCCCCGAGAUUCGGCAGCGGAGAAACCAGAAGCUAGGUGGGCAGCGGAGGCGGCGGCGGCUGUUCUCCCGGCUGUGCGCGGGGCUCCCAGCCCUUCCCAGCCACGUGACUCCCGGGGACGCGCAGAUUGGGGCUGGAGCGGGGGUCACAUGUUUCCUCUGUUUCACACUCAGUCUUCUCCUCCACUCCCCGCCCCCCCAUUCUUACUCUCCCCUGCUACCCUCUCUCCUCCUCUCCCCCUCUCUUCAGUUCUUUGGGCAUCUCCACCCCUCCAUCAAUUGUCAAUGUUCCUCGACCGCAAUCAAUCAGUUAUUUGUCAGCUCUUGUCAAUCCGCCCGUGAUUUAUGUCAGCUUUUGUUGCUGAUUACAAGGCGGGUGCGACUUGAAGGAAAAAGAGUGAGGAAGAGAGAGAUGGAGAGUAAGGAAGAGACCAAGGGGGAACCAGCGGAGGGGGAAAGAGGAGCAGCCUCCUGGGAUGGGGUGGGGGGUGGCUCUAAGAAAAAGAAUGAAAGAGAGGAGAAGAGGCUUUCGGUGUCAGGAAAAUGAAUAGUGAGAGUAAAGCGCGCAGGUGUGCCCAGGGCGCUGAGAGGGCUGCUCAGGCCUGAGGUGUGCGCCUCUCCCCUUACACCUUUCUACUUCUGGGACUUCGGUCCUUUGGGGCCGCGGUGGGAGGAGCUGCCCCGGGUACCUAAGACGGGCGGCGGCGACGUCUAAGAUGGGAAAUAUUUUUGUCCCCAGGAUAGUCCCUCGGGAGCAUGAGGAUGUCAGGCUGCCAGCCUGCCGCGGACCCCACCCUUCGUAGUGCCCCGACCCCAAACACAGACUUCAUUCUGACAGGCACACCACAACGCAGUUUUGAGUCCUGAAGGUCAAUGGUGGGGUACCUCCUCCCCGACUUAAGCCUUUGACCUCCCUUCGGAUCGCGGCUAGGGCUGAGAGGCUGCGAAGAGGCCUGGCCAUGGGUGUACGGUGGAGACAUCUCCAGCGGAGUCAGAUCCCCUCUCCAAACCUCUCCGACCCUGCUGUAUCCCCGCAGGCUGGGUAGCCGGGGUUACUCUGUGCUGCUCACUCGAAUUCAUGGGAACGCCAAGCCGGGACUGACCUGCGUGGAGAAAGCAGAGGGAAAGAAGAGAGAGCGGGAGGGGGCGGCUGCCUGUAGGCACUUGGGUCUUCCAGGGAAGCGGAGCGGGACUGCCGCGUUCCCCUCGAUUUGCACCGUCACUCUGGCGGGUUGGAAGGAAGAGGGGAGGCGCUGUGCCUGCCUCUGUGUACCUGAAGCUGGGUGCACAAGUGUGUACGGACGUCUGCGCCGCUGUGUGAGUUGUCAGGGCUUUGGCAGCGUCCGGAGCGAGUUCGGAGGUCGCCUCCAGAAACUCGCAGAAACGGGAAGGGGGCAAGAGGAGGACACAACCCCUUCCUCGGAAGGACUUGGACGACUUUGAAUUUCCCCUCCCCCACUUUUCCGCCCCAGCUCUUCUUUUGUUGUCAAGUCCUUUGAUAAAUGGUAGGGCAGGGAGCGCGGGGAGCCAGGAGCCAGUCUGUACCCGCGCGGGGGGCAGGGCCGGGUCUGGCGACCCGGUUUCCUUCGGCGCUGAGCCCCGUACCGCGGGGGCCGAGUCUGGGACCUGCCCUCCGCAGGCUCGCCCUCUCCUCUCUCACCACCCCGUGCCCUCCCCCCGCCUUUUUUGUCUCUCUUCCACUCCACACAGGUUGGUAAACUUGAUGAGAUUGUAACUUGACUAAAAAUAAUUUGGAGAAGAGGGAAGUGAGUAUUUUGGGCUGCUCUUCGUCGGUGUGCGUGCCUGCGUGUGUAUAGGUGUUAAGAACACACCUGCGGUCAAGGGGAUUUGGUAUCUGCCUGUGCGGAGGUGAGGAAGAAUCGACGGGAUUUCUCUGCGGUUUGCGCUGCCUGUAUCCGAAUAAAUUGAGCUUGCAGGCAUCCGGCAGGAAACGGCUCCCGGUUGGAGAGUACGCCGACUCAUCGGCCCAGUACGGGACGCGAGGUGGCUCCUGGUGAUUGUGUGGCUGUAGGUCCGGCCUCCAAAGGAAGCUGGACUAUCAGCGCCCUCAGGCCGGGAGCGGCCCCUGGCUGCCCGGCAGUGCCCGGCAGCCCCCACUUCUGGUGGUGCUUCGGGAACCUGCCCCGCCGAGUCCGCCCGCGGCGAAAACUGAAAGCAAAUUCCGCGGCAAAUGAAGCCCAAACUUUCUUCGACGCAACUUUGCCACAGUGAUUCGGUGGCGACUUAGGACGGCGCGCUGGUCUGUGAGCGUGCAAGGUGGGGGUGGUGGGCGAAGAAAGCUUGGGGCGGCCGAGCCUGGCCCUAGACGAAACACUAGGGAAGGCGCCUCCUCUUCCUUACUUCUCGCCAACUCCUCGGCCCCAGUCCGUAAAAAUAGUUUCCAAUGUGUGGCGGACGCCCAGGAUGUGUUUGUGGGGAUCGCACCAGAGAGAAGGAAGCUUUGUGAAAGUUGCAGAAAGAGCUUUGCCCAGAAGCGUCCGCCCUGCAGGGCUCAAGAAAGCUGAGGACUAGCUCGCCUCCCCGGGGGUGGAAUGCCUAGAAAUCGGCUUGGGGAGACCCCAGCCCAGUCCUCUCCCCUCACCUCGAACUCGCGCAUAAAUAACCUUCCGCAGUCUGCGCUGGAAACUCACAAGCGCGGCGCCGCGGUUGGCUGGCGAGGCUGGGACGCUGAGCCGGCCCGCAAGGCCGCUUCUAGGCGCGCUCAGUCCCAGCCCCUAAGAGAAGCUUGCACCGAGGUGAGAGAAGAGUGUGCUUUCAGCUCCUGCUCGGCUGUGUAGACCAUCACCGCCGAACUCCCAACUCCCUGGAGCUGGCGCUUCCCCCCUGGGAGCGGCAGACUUGGGCGGCUGGCUAGGGCGCAAAGUGCGCGCGCGGGCCGGCGCGGGGAUGGGGGGCGGCUGCCGGUCUCUCCGCGGGGCCUGUCGCCGGGCCGGCCGCGGCGGGUGAGUGAUGAGGGCAGAGAAGGGCGCCCAUAAAUCGCGGGUGUCAGGGCGAAAAACUCUCUUUAUUGUCUGCGUGAUGGAUGGGCCCGGGGACGAGACACCAAAUACUUCGUAUCGCCUUUAAAUGGGAACACAUUUUCCGCGGCCAUAAUUCAUGUUUUUUAAAUAGAAAGUUUGAAAUGUUGCCUAUAUUUCACCGGCCCUGACAUAUUUAUGAAUCGCUCCCUGCAUGCAAAUAUCAUUAUUUAAAGCGCCGGGGAGAGCUCGGGGGGAGGGGAGGAGGCAUGGCCCCCGUGGCGUGGGGGUGGUGAACGGGGGAAAUGCGGAUGGAGGAGGGGGUGCAUCUCCCUAAAGUGCGGACAAUGAGGCGCGGGGGAAAUCCUUAUACGGAAGCCGAGCGCACUGGGGGAUCCACUCCCGUCGCUGGACCGAGCACUGCCGCUUCGGGAAGUUUGAGCCGUUUGGGUCCGUGGACAGGCCCCCGUCCCCUGCGGGAAGACCCGGGGGGCCUUUUGCGUCCCUCUCCGAGGCCCUGAUCCGAGUCAAAGACACCUUUCCAAGAAAAAAAAAAUGUUCUUUUUUUUUAAAUAAAAGAAUUUAACAAACGCAAAUAACAGCAGCAAUCCAACACGUUUCGUGUUCUUUGCAUUUGCAUUGAUUUUAUUGAUUUUCAUUCUGCCAACCUCAGACUGUGCGCGUCCGGGAGGAGCACUGUCAGACCCCAGUCACUGCGGAGAGUGGGUGGGGGAUAACCGUCCGGAGCGGCAGCCCGGACUCAACCAACUCACCACCUCCCAGGCACAACAGAGCCUGCGCAAGACGCGGGGACACAAAUGAUCCGGCUCCCAAGCUCUGGGGGCUUCAGUCCCGCCCCCUCUGCUUCCCCAGUGCAAUGCAGCGCUCCUAGGGUCCGCGUCCAUCCACCCCGAGCCCCACUGUGAAUACAAUCGCUUUGGAAAAAAGCUGGGCACGUGCCGUCAGCCUCUCCCUUGCCCGUCCAGCCAGGGAGGCACCUACACCUUCGUCCUCAGUAGCCGAUUCUUUACCUGUGCGGUUCCCUGCGGCGCCUGCGGCCGCGCUGGUAACAGAGGAAUGAAAAGGAGGACGGGGGAGUGAGAGGGACAGAGCACAGCCCGAGACAGCCAGAUACGCAGACCCGGGUCCUCCUCUUCCGACCAAGCGUUGGGGGCCCUAACCGAACUCCCUCUAGGAGCCGAAUUGCGCUGGGGAGAACCGGCCGGGGGAC